CCAAUAGCGUAUAUUAAAGUUGUUGCAGUUAAAAAGCUCGUAGUUGAAUUUCGGGAUCAAGGAAUCGGUCAUGCCUUGGUAUGUACUGGUUUUAUUGGUUCUCACCUUCUAAAGAACCAUAAUGUCAUUAAUUUGAUGUUAUGGGGAAUUAGGACUGUUACCUUGAAAAAAUUAGAGUGUUUAAAGCAGGCUUACGCUUGAAUACAUUAGCAUGGAAUAAUGAAAUAGGACAUCAGAUUCUAUUUUGUUGGUUUCUAGGAUCGAUGUAAUGAUUAAUAGGGAUAGUUGGGGGCAUUAGUAUUCAAUUGUCAGAGGUGAAAUUCUUGGAUUUAUUGAAGACUAACUACUGCGAAAGCAUUUGCCAAGGAUGUUUUCAUUAAUCAAGAACGAAAGUUAGGGGAUCGAAGACGAUCAGAUACCGUCGUAGUCUUAACCAUAAACUAUGCCGACUAGGGAUCGGAUGAUGUUAAUUUUAUAAUGACUCAUUCGGCACCUUACG
RNAcentral lists this ribosomal RNA (499 nucleotides) under uncultured Glomeromycotina. Its description in RNAcentral is "partial small subunit ribosomal RNA". It matches the Rfam family "Eukaryotic small subunit ribosomal RNA", at positions 591 to 1092 of the family's 1831-position model. The record is from RNAcentral. Lineage: Eukaryota; Fungi; Glomeromycota.